UAAUACAGGGGUGGCAAGCGUUGUCCGGAAUUACUGGGUGUAAAGGGUGCGUAGGCGGGUCGGUAAGUCAGUGGUCAAAUCCUAUAGCUUAACUAUAGACUAUCCAUUGAUACUGCUGAUCUUGAGUGCGAGAGAGAUGAGUGGAAUUCCAAGUGUAGCGGUGAAAUGCGUAGAGAUUUGGAAGAACACCAGUAGCGAAGGCGGCUCAUUAGCUCGUAACUGACGCUGAGGCACGAAAGCAUGGGUAGCAAACAGG
This 256-nucleotide ribosomal RNA is filed under the name uncultured bacterium. RNAcentral's name for it is "partial 16S ribosomal RNA". It matches the Rfam family "Bacterial small subunit ribosomal RNA", at positions 521 to 776 of the family's 1533-position model. The record is from RNAcentral.